This 690-nucleotide ribosomal RNA is filed under the name uncultured Acidobacteriota bacterium. Its description in RNAcentral is "bacterial SSU rRNA". It matches the Rfam family "Bacterial small subunit ribosomal RNA", at positions 15 to 739 of the family's 1533-position model. The record is from RNAcentral. Lineage: Bacteria; Pseudomonadati; Acidobacteriota.
GAUCCUGGCUCAGAAUCAACGCUGGCGGCGCGCCUAACACAUGCAAGUCGCACGAGAAAGGGAGCAAUCCUGAGUACAGUGGCGUACGGGUGAGUAACACGUGGAUGAUCCACCUCUUUGUGGGGAAUAACCUGGGGAAACCCGGGCUAAUACCGCAUAAGCCCGCGAGGGGAAAGCCGCAAGGCGCAGGGAGAGGAGUCCGCGGCCGAUUAGCUAGUUGGUGGGGUAAUGGCCCACCAAGGCGAUGAUCGGUAGCCGGCCUGAGAGGGCACACGGCCACACUGGCACUGCAACACGGGCCAGACUCCUACGGGAGGCAGCAGUGGGGAAUCUUGCACAAUGGGGGCAACCCUGAUGCAGCGACGCCGCGUGAGCGAUGAAGCCUUUCGGGGUGUAAAGCUCUUUCGGCCGGAACGAUAAUGACGGUACCGGCAGAAGAAGCUGCGGCUAACUACGUGCCAGCAGCCGCGGUAAUACGUAGGCAGCAAGCGUUGUUCGGAGUUACUGGGCGUAAAGAGUACGUAGGCGGUGCCGUAAGUCCGGUGUGAAAUCUCCUGGCUCAACUGGGAGGGUGCGCUGGAAACUGCGGUGCUAGAGUGCGGGAGAGGAAAGCGGAAUUCCUGGUGUAGCGGUGAAAUGCGUAGAGAUCAGGAGGAACACCUGUGGUGUAGACGGCUUUCUGGACCGUGA